This 253-nucleotide ribosomal RNA is filed under the name uncultured Geobacter sp. RNAcentral's name for it is "partial 16S ribosomal RNA". It matches the Rfam family "Bacterial small subunit ribosomal RNA", at positions 524 to 776 of the family's 1533-position model. The record is from RNAcentral. Lineage: Bacteria; Pseudomonadati; Thermodesulfobacteriota; Desulfuromonadia; Geobacterales; Geobacteraceae.
UACGGAGGGUGCAAGCGUUGUUCGGAAUUAUUGGGCGUAAAGCGCGUGUAGGCGGUCUUUUAAGUCUGAUGUGAAAGCCCCGGGCUCAACCUGGGAAGUGCAUUGGAAACUGGGAGGCUUGAGUACGGGAGAGGAGAGUGGAAUUCCUAGUGUAGGAGUGAAAUCCGUAGAUAUUAGGAGGAACACCGGUGGCGAAGGCGGCUCUCUGGACCGAUACUGACGCUGAGACGCGAAAGCGUGGGUAGCAAACAGG